Long non-coding RNA from Mus musculus (house mouse), 1111 nucleotides. RefSeq annotates it as RIKEN cDNA 2310016D23 gene. Lineage: Eukaryota; Metazoa; Chordata; Mammalia; Rodentia; Muridae. The record is from RefSeq and is a predicted model, not a curated record. The transcript has 6 exons.
GCUCUUUUCCCUCUCGUCCAACCAUCAAAUCCAUGCAAUCUCCAAGGAAACAAAAUAAAUUUUUAUUCACAGUGGGGGUGGGGGGGUAUGGCCCGUGUCCAAGGUAAUGAAAAAGACGAAUUACCCUGCAAAUCCUUCCAAAUGGACCACACUCAGCUCCAGUGUGGAGUGGGUGGAGCAGAGACCAGAAGCAGCUGUCUCAGGACUGGCCUCCUACCACUUUCCAUGACUUUUUCAAAUCUAAAUUUAGCUACUAUUUAUAGGUGACCAGGAGAGCACACCCUCACCCGCACCCGCAACCCCUGCUGCUGCCCACUGGAAGGGCAAACUAAAGCUUGGCAUUUCACAGGUAGGCGUGAAAGUCAGCUUUAUACAGAUCAUAGACACUGACCCGGCCUUUGUCAUCCCUUAUCGCUGCUCCACCCUGUUUGUCUACAGCUGCUGGUUACACCCAAGUGUCUGUUCGUUGGUUGGUUGAUUUGGAGGUCCCUCCAGGGAGGCGAUUGAGAAGAGCCAUCCAUCCCUGCUGCAUGACUUCCAGUUCACAGCUGUUGGGAGGAUGAUCAAAGAGGAAAAUGCAUGUCCAAGAGAGAGGAGAAAGGUCCUGGUCCUGCUGGGGUCUUUCUGGGGCUGAACAGGACGAAUGGCAAGAGUUGUAUAUUUAAGAGAUAAGUGAGAGGAUUAGGUUGCAUUCAGGAAGAGUGAUUUAUUUAAAAGAUGGAACCAGGAUGUCCUGCUCUCCCUGAACUCUAGGACAAUAUGAGGAAGAGAGGUUUGCUGUCUUGGAGUGUGCAUGGCUAAGGAUAUCUGACUAUCUGACAUCACCACCUUGGCCAACAACUCAUUUCUUCUAUGAAGGACUCAGGAUUCCUCACCUCCACUUCCAGAAUUCUAAACAUAGCAGUAUAGUGGUGAGGUUUGGUCUUUUGCUGUGUAUUGUAAUGACUUCACACACGUCCCAUAUGGUUCUGAAGGAUUGAGCAACACAGCAUCUAUGUUGGUGGCUGACUUAAUAACCCUUCCUUGAACUGGUUUUUCUCUUCCUAGUUUGCAUUUCCAGGCCACUGCUAUUGGUCCUUGAACUCUAUUCCCUAAUAAAAUAUUCAUAUUG